RNAcentral lists this ribosomal RNA (279 nucleotides) under uncultured bacterium. RNAcentral describes it as "partial 16S ribosomal RNA". It matches the Rfam family "Bacterial small subunit ribosomal RNA", at positions 506 to 784 of the family's 1533-position model. The record is from RNAcentral.
UGCCAGCAGCCGCGGUAAUACGGGGGAUGCAAGUGUUAUCCGGAAUCACUGGGCGUAAAGGGUUCGUAGGUGGACCUAUAAGUCAGGUAUGAAAGACCGGAGCUCAACUCCGCGUUUGUGCUUGAAACUGUAGGCCUAGAAUCAGGGAGAGGUAAGCGGAAUUCUUAGUGUAGGGGUGCAAUCCGUAGAUACUAAGAAGAACACCAAAAGCGAAGGCAGCUUACUGGAACUGUAUUGACACCGAGGAACGAAAGCGUGGGGAGCGAAGAGGAUUAGAUA